UACAGAGGUCUCAAGCGUUGUUCGGAUUCAUUGGGCGUAAAGGGUGCGUAGGCGGCGCGGUAAGUCGGGUGUGAAAUCUUGGAGCUUAACUCCGAAACUGCAUUCGAUACUGCCGUACUUGAGGACUGGAGAGGAGACUGGAAUUUACGGUGUAGCGGUGAAAUGCGUAGAUAUCGUAAGGAAGACCAGUGGCGAAGGCGGGUCUCUGGACAGUUCCUGACGCUGAGGCACGAAGGCCAGGGGAGCAAACGGG
Molecule: ribosomal RNA, 253 nt
Filed under: uncultured bacterium
Lineage: Bacteria
Description: partial 16S ribosomal RNA
Rfam family: Bacterial small subunit ribosomal RNA
Source: RNAcentral